CUGCCCAAUGAAUAUUGAAUGGCUGCAGUAUUUUGACUGUGCUAAGGUAGCAAAAUAAUUUGUUUUUUAAUUGAAAACUGGAAUGAAAGAUUAAAUAAAUUUUACUAGUCUCAGAUUUUUUAGAAUAAUUUUCAAUAUAAGUAAGAAUGCUUGUAUGCAAUAAUGGGACGAUAAGACCCUAAAAGCUUUAAUUUAAUAAGAUUAUGUAAGUAAAAUUAUAAUUUUUACUGGGGAAGUAAUUUAGUAAGAAUCUAUAGAGAUAUAAACUUGAAUAAAAGGAUAAUGAUCUUUUAAAUAAAGAUAAGUAGUGAAAGUUACUUUAGGGAUAACAGCAUAAUAGUUUUGGGGAGACCAUAUUUAUAAAACUGAUUGUGACCUCGAUGUUGAAUUAAAAAUUCUAUUAGUAGCAGAAGAUAUAUGAGAAGGUUUGUUCAACCUUUAAAAUUUUACGUGAUCUGAGUUCAGACCGGA
This 471-nucleotide ribosomal RNA is filed under the name Maarrka weeliwollii. RNAcentral describes it as "partial 16S ribosomal RNA". It matches the Rfam family "Bacterial large subunit ribosomal RNA", at positions 1859 to 2620 of the family's 2925-position model. Lineage: Eukaryota; Metazoa; Arthropoda; Malacostraca; Amphipoda; Paramelitidae. The record is from RNAcentral.